GUGGAUAUGGCCAAGCGGUAAGGCGCCAGAUUGUGGCUCUGGAGAUCGUGGGUUCAAAUCCCAUUAUCCACCCCA
This 75-nucleotide transfer RNA is filed under the name Tissierellia bacterium. Its description in RNAcentral is "tRNA-His". It matches the Rfam family "tRNA". Rfam says of the family: Transfer RNA (tRNA) molecules are approximately 80 nucleotides in length. Their secondary structure includes four short double-helical elements and three loops (D, anti-codon, and T loops). The record is from RNAcentral. Lineage: Bacteria; Bacillati; Bacillota; Tissierellia.